ACGGCGAGUGAAGCGGCAACAGCUCAAAUUUGAAAUCUGGCUUCGGCCCGAGUUGUAAUUUGCAGAGGAUGCUUUUGGUGCGGUGCCUUCCGAGUUCCCUGGAACGGGACGCCACAGAGGGUGAGAGCCCCGUAUGGUCGGACACCAAUCCUGUGUAAAGCUCCUUCGACGAGUCGAGUAGUUUGGGAAUGCUGCUCUAAAUGGGAGGUAAAUCUCUUCUAAAGCUAAAUACCGGCCAGAGACCGAUAGCGCACAAGUAGAGUGAUCGAAAGAUGAAAAGCACCUUGAAAAGGGGGUUAAACAGUACGUGAAAUUGUUGAAAGGGAAGCACUUGUGACCAGACUUGGGCCGGGCGGCUCAUCAGGGGUUCUCCCCUGUGCAUUCCGCCCGGUACAGGCCAGCAUCGGUUCUUACCGGGGGAUAAGAACGGCAGGAACGUGGCUCCCUCUCGGGGGAGUGUUAUAGCCUGCCGUACGAUACCCUGGCGGGGACCGAGGUUCGCGCUUCCGCAAGGAUGCUGGCGUAAUGGUUACUAGUGACCCGUCUUGAAACACGGACCAAGGAGUCGUCCAUUAGAGCGAGCGUUUGGGUGUAAAACCCGCACGCGUAAUGAAAGUGAAAUUAGGUGAGAGCUUCGGCGCAUCAUCGACCGAUCCUGAUGUUCUCGGAUGGAUUUGAGUAAGAGUUUUAACGGACGGACCCGAAAGACAGUGAACUAUGCUUGUAUAGGGUGAAGCCAGAGGAAACUCUGGUGGAGGCUCGCAGCG
Molecule: ribosomal RNA, 767 nt
Filed under: Tubakia dryina
Lineage: Eukaryota; Fungi; Ascomycota; Sordariomycetes; Diaporthales; Tubakiaceae
Description: eukaryotic LSU rRNA
Rfam family: Eukaryotic large subunit ribosomal RNA
Source: RNAcentral